UGGGGAAUCUUAGACAAUGGGGGCAACCCUGAUCUAGCCAUGCCGCGUGAGUGAAGAAGGCCCUAGGGUCGUAAAGCUCUUUCGCUAGGGAUGAUAAUGACAGUACCUAGUAAAGAAGUCCCGGCUAACUCCGUGCCAGCAGCCGCGGUAAUACGGAGGGGACUAGCGUUGUUCGGAAUUACUGGGCGUAAAGCGCGCGUAGGCGGACUGGAAAGUUGGGGGUGAAAUCCCAGGGCUCAACCCUGGAACGGCCUCCAAAACUAUCAGUCUAGAGUUCGAGAGAGGUGAGUGGAAUUCCGAGUGUAGAGGUGAAAUUCGUAGAUAUUCGGAGGAACACCAGUGGCGAAGGCGGCUCACUGGCUCGAUACUGACGCUGAGGUGCGAAAGUGUGGGGAGCAAACAGGAUUAGAUACCCGUGUAGUCC
RNAcentral lists this ribosomal RNA (424 nucleotides) under uncultured prokaryote. Its description in RNAcentral is "bacterial SSU rRNA". It matches the Rfam family "Bacterial small subunit ribosomal RNA", at positions 355 to 796 of the family's 1533-position model. The record is from RNAcentral.